CUACGGGCUGCUGCAGUGGGGAAUAUUGCACAAUGGAGGAAACUCUGAUGCAGCAACGCCGCGUGGAGGAUGACACUUUUCGGAGCGUAAACUCCUUUUAUAUAGGAAGACGAUGACGGUACUAUAUGAAUAAGCGCCGGCUAACUCCGUGCCAGCAGCCGCGGUAAUACGGAGGGCGCAAGCGUUACUCGGAAUCACUGGGCGUAAAGAGCGUGUAGGCGGAUUAAAAAGUCAGAAGUGAAAUCCUAUAGCUUAACUAUAGAACUGCUUCUGAAACUCUUAAUCUAGAAUAUGGGAGAGGUAGAUGGAAUUUCUGGUGUAGGGGUAAAAUCCGUAGAGAUCAGAAGGAAUACCGAUUGCGAAGGCGAUCUACUAGAACAUUAUUGACGCUGAGACGCGAAAGCGUGGGGAGCAAACAGGAUUAGAUACCCUGGUAGUC
This 439-nucleotide ribosomal RNA is filed under the name uncultured bacterium. RNAcentral's name for it is "partial 16S ribosomal RNA". It matches the Rfam family "Bacterial small subunit ribosomal RNA", at positions 339 to 795 of the family's 1533-position model. The record is from RNAcentral.